CCCCUCCUACUCGUCCUCCGCCUCCUUCCUCCCCCACCCAGCCUUACACCGCCCAGCGCCCCGCCACCCGCGUAACAGGCGUCUGGGAAUCGCCGGCCGAGCCCCGCUCCCGCCCACUUAGGCUACGGUGCCGAAGCCCGAGCGGAGCCAAUCACGGACGUCGAUUGUUUGUGGCUCCUCCCGGAAAAAGCCGAUCGACCUGAGAAACCAAUUAGGAAGUGUCGCUGGAAAUCCACGCCCAAAAAGCGGAAAAUGCCGAAAAUAGCCGAACGAAAAGGUGGGUUCUCCUCGUUCAGUGGCUGGCUAGAACAGAAAUUCGACAAUGGCACCAGUGGCCAAUCAAAAUCGCCGGCCCUCAGGAAAAAGCUUGAAGAGUUAAGGACGGUGAAACCCGGAGUCACUGGUGAAACAGCACGGUCGGGCGCCGCGGCCGCUUUGUAAUUGGCCGAAAACUCCGCUGGGAGUGUACCUCCCUCGGUGAUUGGCGAAGCGAGGGGGGCUUCCGAGGACAGUCUGGCCAGUCAGAAUGUCUCCUCCCUCUCCAGGGUGGAGAGAAGAAGAAAGAAAAGGGAGGGCAUUUAUAAAGCGCCUUCUCAUUGGCCUGAACCCUUGUAGCUGGAGUGGGGGCAAAAGGGAAAAGGAGGGAGGCCGAAACCCGUAGCGGCAGCCAAUCGGCACUCACUGCCGUCCAAUCGCAAGACCUAGAUGCAGUGUGAUUGGCCUUCCGCCUCCGGCGGCGGUCCCAGGAGCGGAGGGAAGCUCGACUAGGGUCGUGGCGGACCUUGUGACGGGCUUGCCUGCGGCUGCUCUCAGCCGUUGUGGAAACCGCAGAUCAGGAGCGCGGGCACUGCGCAGCCGGUCCGAAACUGCUGCGGUCAGCGGCACUGGGCUCGGAGCGCUCAAGCGAACAGGGAAUUUAGGGGCUCUCCCCACCCACGAAGAGGUUCUCUCCCCGGCGCGGCUAAAUCUGCGCGCCCGAGCCUCCCCUCCGCCCGGGAUAGCGCGUGCCGAGAAUCAGCGUCUUCCCCGAAAGGGCCAGACGGAACUAGGACGCCUACCCGGCCGGAAAAUACUCGGGUUUUGAGGGGAUGAAAUGAGACAGCACCUGUGAAAACGGUUUGGAUAUUUUGAAGGCCUGCACUCAUGUAGGAGCAUGGGUGAAGAUGAUUACUGGGAGACAGCAAGAAGGUAAGCCCUGCAUUUUUCCCCAGGUUGACUAUUUUUUAUUUAAUUAUCUCUUUUCAUUAAGACUAGAGUGGACUCUUUUCCCUCCUGGGAGGCAAAAAUAAUGAGAUAUUUGUCUUGAC
This 1307-nucleotide long non-coding RNA is filed under the name Felis catus (domestic cat). RNAcentral describes it as "lncRNA (ENSFCAG00000051228.1)". Lineage: Eukaryota; Metazoa; Chordata; Mammalia; Carnivora; Felidae. The record is from RNAcentral.